Oryza meridionalis is the source of this 206-nucleotide non-coding RNA. NCBI's taxonomy places the organism in Eukaryota, Viridiplantae, Streptophyta, Magnoliopsida, Poales, Poaceae. The record is from Rfam.
UAUAAACACAGUUAUAUAUUUCAGUGAUCAACGUUUAACCGUCCGUCUUAUUUUAAGUAUAUUUUAUUAGUCUUUUUAUUGUUAUUAGAUGAUAAAAUAUGAAUAGUACUUUAUGCAUAACUUAAUUCUAAUUUUUUUUACAAAUUUAUUUAAAAUAACACGGAUGGUCAAAUAUUGGAUACAGAAACUUCAAUGGAGUACUACUU